RNAcentral lists this ribosomal RNA (380 nucleotides) under uncultured eukaryote. RNAcentral's name for it is "partial 18S ribosomal RNA". It matches the Rfam family "Eukaryotic small subunit ribosomal RNA", at positions 592 to 976 of the family's 1831-position model. The record is from RNAcentral.
CAAUAGCGUAUAUUAAAGUUGUUGCGGUUAAAAAGCUCGUAGUUGGAUUUCUGCUGAGGAUGACCGGUCCGCCCUCCGGGUGAGUAUCUGGCUCAGCCUUGGCAUCUUCCUGAAGAACGUAACUGCACUUGACUGUGUGGUGCGGUAUUUAGGACAUUUACUUUGAGGAAAUUAGAGUGUUUCAAGCAAGCGCACGCCUUGAAUACAUUAGCAUGGAAUAAUAAGAUAGGACCUCGGUUCUAUUUUGUUGGUUUCUAGAGCUGAGGUAAUGAUUGAUAGGGAUAGUUGGGGGCAUUCGUAUUUAACUGUCAGAGGUGAAAUUCUUGGACUUGUUAAAGACGGACUACUGCGAAAGCAUUUGCCAAGGAUGUUUUCAUUGA